AUUGAACGCUGGCGGCAGGCUUAGCACAUGCAAGUCGAGCGGAGACUUCGGUCUUAGCGGCGAACGGGUGAGUAAUACCUAGGAAUCUGCCUAUUAUGGGGGAUAACGAAUCGAAAGGUUCGCUAAUACCGCAUACGUCCUACGGGANAAAGGGGGGGGAUCUUCGGACCUCUCGCUAAUAGAUGAGCCUAGGCCGGAUUAGCUAGUUGGUAGGGUAAAGGCCUACCAAGGCGACGAUCUGUAGCUGGUCUGAGAGGAUGGCCAGCCACACUGGAACUGAGACACGGUCCAGACUCCUACGGGAAGCAGCAGUGGGGAAUAUUGGACAAUGGGGGCAACCCUGAUCCAGCCAUGCCGCGUGUGUGAAGAAGGCCUUCGGGUUGUAAAGCACUUUAAGCGAGGAGGAAGGUUUUUAGUUUAAUACACUAAAGAAUUGACGUUACUCGCAGAAUAAGCACCGGCUAACUCUGUG
This 472-nucleotide ribosomal RNA is filed under the name uncultured bacterium. RNAcentral describes it as "bacterial SSU rRNA". It matches the Rfam family "Bacterial small subunit ribosomal RNA", at positions 30 to 507 of the family's 1533-position model. The record is from RNAcentral.